RNAcentral lists this ribosomal RNA (253 nucleotides) under uncultured bacterium. RNAcentral describes it as "partial 16S ribosomal RNA". It matches the Rfam family "Bacterial small subunit ribosomal RNA", at positions 524 to 776 of the family's 1533-position model. The record is from RNAcentral.
UACGGAGGGGGCUAGCGUUGUUCGGAAUUACUGGGCGUAAAGCGCACGUAGGCGGACUGUUAAGUCGGGGGUGAAAUCCUGGGGCUCAACCUCAGAAUUGCCUCCGAUACUGGCAGUCUCGAGUGCGGGAGAGGUGAGUGGAAUUCCCAGUGUAGAGGUGAAAUUCGUAGAUAUUGGGAAGAACCCCAGUGGCGAAGGCGGCUCACUGGCCCGUAACUGACGCUGAGGUGCGAAAGCGUGGGGAGCAAACAGG